UUGUCUCCCAUUGGUCCCAGAACUGAAUCCAUAUAAGAGAGGAAUUUAUAAAUGUGGAAUUAAGGGAAAUAUUGUGGAAAGUGUAUUUUUCAUCAAACUUUGAUGAUUUUAAGUGAAAAAUGAUCCUAUCUAAACAUUUUCAAAAUGGUUCGCAAGAUUGGAUGAAUACUGAUACAGCGUGGAAAGGAUGAAUACUGUAAAAGCGUGGAUAGAAUGAAUGAAUGAAUAAUGUGGCCACUCCAGCUGGAUUAUUCAAGGGAUCAAUGUCUCGGUAUUCUUAGAGGAUUAGAACUGAAAGCGUAUUCCUCUGUAAUUGACGCGCUUCGCGCUGGUGGGGACCUGACAGAGGAUUCAAGCGCGUUGCUUACCCAGCUUCGAAGCGCACUUUUUAUCUCCCAAGAUCGUCAUAAAACUGAGAUAAGGCGCGCAAUCAAUAAUGAAAUCCUCAACACUGUAUCUGAAAGGGUUGCCGGCCCGGACCAAAGUGAUGAAUGGAAAAGAGAAGGAAGAAGAAUUAUUCCCCUUCUCCCUCGGGCUCCGCCCAUCACCGGUUAUAAACAGAUCGCAGAUGCGGGUAAAGACGACCUCUCCUCUUUAAACAAAGAGCUUCCUCCGCCCUGGGAAACUAGGACGGUUGGACCUCUCCCACCCCUUCUCCGGGAGAUUAAAACUCCGUCGGAACCUGAAUUUUUAAAACCCGAGCCGGUUGAGCUGAACGGGUCUGUCAGCCCAAUAAAGACAGAGAUCAAGGUUGAGGAUGAGGAUGAGGAGGAGACGGGUCUAGUGUUUCUACCCAGCGGGAUGGCGGUCAGACUCACAGAGGACAAAAGUCAAAUUGGGAAAAAAGGCGGGAAAAGGAAAAGAUCAAUAUCUAAAUCAAUAGAAAUUUUCCCUAAAGGUGUUCCUAUUUUGAGCCCCAACGGGCGGAGAGAAAGUGUUUCUUCUCCACCGCGGAAGAUAACCUCGCCUCUGAGUCCUGUUCAUCAGGCUGGGCACGGAUAUGCCCGCCCACCUCCAAGUGCCCCAGCUGCUAACUCCCCUACAAUGUCUCCACCCAAAAGUACCGAGGCUCAACUGUUCUCUCCUCCUAAACGAGGUCCCGGUCGUCCUCCCGGUUCAUCCUCUCCUAGCGUCGGCCGUGGUCAGGGUGCAGUGAGAACGCGAGCUCCGCGAGCAUCUCGGCCCCGAGGACCGCGUAGCAGAGGUCGAGGACUACGAGCCUCUGCUCCUUUACAACACAAUGUGCCUGUAUCCAUUACUCAAUCACCAUUAGUACAAGGACCAACUGGUCAACCUAUUUUUACUCCGGUACACCCCGGAGCUAGACCAUUCAGAACUUCCACGCCUAAACUAUCCGGUCUUGCGCAGAAACAAGGUUAUUCCCAGUUAAACAGUUUACCUCUCAGCUCGGCUGGAUUGGUUGGUUUGACUCAGGUAUUGAGUCAAACUUACCCUCAGGACCUCUCAACAACCUCUUCUGAGGCUAAACCUAACCUCCAGAACUCUCAGUCUACUAUUGGAUACUUGCAGGCUCAAAAUCUAUCUUCCCACGAUUUCUCCACUUUUGCUUCUCAAGGUGGAAGCCAGCUCACCUCCCUAUCAGUUCCCCAGCUCUCAGGGCUAACCCAGAUACCAGCACAGUUCACACAAACUCGGGAACAGUUCUCUACUCCAGUCUUGACAACCCUUCCCUCUCAGGGAGCUCAAACCAACCACACUCUUCAUCUCUCUAACUCCGGGAGCUCCAAUCCCAGUUUACAUCUCUCAAACCAGAGUUUUUCUCAUUUCUCCAGUUCAGGAUUGAAAGUUAUCUCCCACUCCGGAGCUAAGAUUGUUCCUAAAGCCGGUGGAACGGUUUAUGUAGUUCCCGGAAACACUCAGAGAUUACUCUCCCCUGCUCCGCGUCUUGUAACAGUUACCAGUGGUACUCCUCGGCUUGCAACCAUAGCUUCUACCCCUGGGGUAUCCAGUGUCAUAAGAACCAUCAGAACCUCAUCCUUUCCUGGCUCUAAUAAAUCCGUUAUUGUCGUUCAGAAGUCUGGCCCCACUAGUAUCCGUGGAUCCAGGCCUAGCACUGUAGCUUUGUACCGACCUGCCCGGGGCGGAAUUCCGGUUUCCCGGGGGAUUUCAUCAGGAAUGGUUCGACUUCCAUCCUUCCCCCGUCCUACACUAAUCCGACAACAGAGUGCCAAUGGUAACCUGUAUUUGGUUGAGUUGGGACAGGAUUCGAACCAUCAACAAACCAUGUUACCGAACUCUCUGAUGACCAGUGAACCCGGAGCUCCAACCUUACAGAGAAUAAUAUCCAAACCUAUUUCCAGCUCUAAACCAAUGCCUAUAGUUAUUAGUUCAAGUUCGCAAACAUUAUCGAAGAAGAUUUUGCAUGAUGGCGGUGGAAACCCGGAGCAUGAACCUGAAACCUGGUUCCAGGCUAAGGAUAUUCCCGGAGCCAACCCUAAACCUACUCCGGAUACAAAGAGGAGCUCAGUGAAAACUGGAUUAUCGGAGCUGGAAGACGGAAACAUGACAAAAUAUUCUGAUAUAUUCAGUCUAGCACUAGAGCAGGCGAAUAUACCUGCAGAGAACAAUAUUGCUCCGGAGUCCCAUAAAUCCUUAUCCUCGAGUACUGGUAGGUUUGUGACUCUCCCAGCUCGGGGGAACUCCGUCCAGCUUCUCAAAAACGAGUCUUCGGUUCCUGUCUCUGGGUCCUUGGUUUCUAACUCAGGAACCCUGGUUCAUACUUACGGGUCUUUAGUUCAAAACUCUAGCUCCCUGGUUUCUGGGACCCUAUUGUCCAACUCUGGGACUCUGGUUCAGAACUCUGGAAUCUUAAUUUCUAAAUCCGGGUCUCUGGUUCUCAACUCUGGAACCCUAAUGUCUAACUCAGGUAUCCUGGUUUCCAACUCUGGGUCCCUAGUUCCUGUCUCCGGAUCUGUUGCUCCGAUAUCGGAGAACCAACCUAAAUUCAUACCUGAUGCCCAGUCUUUGUCCAACCUUGCCAUGAACGAGAUUAUUCAGGAGAAUAUUUUAGAUUCUCCGUCUUAAUUUGACAACAGUUAGUAUUUUUUCACGCACCUCUGAAAUAUUUAAAAGUAUUCGGCCUUAACCUUAUUCUUGAACACCCUAGACAUGUACAGUACAUAAUAUAUAAACUUUGAAUUUCGGACUUGUUUAAAAAUAUAUUUAUUGUGAAGUUGUAAACAUGCAGACUAUGUAUUAUCUACACUGGUCCUUAAUUGUAAACAUAACUUAUCAAUCAGGAAUUAUUCCUUGUGUUGAAAUGUCCCCGCCAUAAUAAGAAAUGUAUUCCGACAUUUUUAUAUUAUUACUCACAUUUAUUAUGUGAUUUGGAUUUAUAAAUAAACAUCUAUGCAUUAUUAA
This 3381-nucleotide unclassified non-coding RNA is filed under the name Eurytemora carolleeae. RNAcentral's name for it is "bRCA2-interacting transcriptional repressor EMSY". The record is from RNAcentral. Lineage: Eukaryota; Metazoa; Arthropoda; Copepoda; Calanoida; Temoridae.